AUUGAACGCUGGCGGCAGGCCUAACACAUGCAAGUCGAACGGUAACAGGAAGAAGCUUGCUUCUUUGCUGACGAGUGGCGGACGGGUGAGUAAUGUCUGGGAAACUGCCUGAUGGAGGGGGAUAACUACUGGAAACGGUAGCUAAUACCGCAUAACGUCGCAAGCCCAAAGAGGGGGACCUUCGGGCCUCUUGCCAUCGGAUGUGCCCAGAUGGGAUUAGCUAGUAGGUGGGGUAACGGCUCACCUAGGCGACGAUCCCUAGCUGGUCUGAGAGGAUGACCAGCCACACUGGAACUGAGACACGGUCCAGACUCCGACGGGAGGCAGCAGUGGGGAAUAUUGCACAAUGGGCGCAAGCCUGAUGCAGCCAUGCCGCGUGUAUGAAGAAGGCCUUCGGGUUGUAAAGUACUUUCAGCGGGGAGGAAGGGAGUAAAGUUAAUACCUUUGCUCAUUGACGUUACCCGCAGAAGAAGCACCGGCUAACUCCGUG
This 490-nucleotide ribosomal RNA is filed under the name uncultured bacterium. RNAcentral's name for it is "partial 16S ribosomal RNA". It matches the Rfam family "Bacterial small subunit ribosomal RNA", at positions 30 to 507 of the family's 1533-position model. The record is from RNAcentral.